GAUGUUGUAUUUAUAUUAUUAUGCGGUAUGGGGGCCACACAACGAUGAUUUUUACAGUUAUUAUAACAUAAUGUUAUAAAAUAUAACGUACAGUGCCUACACGUGUUAUAUAAUAGGUUCAAUAAAUUGAGCACAAUGUAUAUACGUUCAAAAGCAUUUUAGUUUAUUUGCACACCGAUUAGCCGCGGAGUUAAUGCAUAAUGCGACGCAUAGAAUUAUUGGAAUUAUAAUCUCGUCAUGUUCGAUUAUAGAAUUUUACUCAACAACAAUGAUUAAUACACACGAUUUACAUAGAAUGGUCGAGAACGUAAGACAUUGAUACCUGCAAUAUCAAUUAUUGGUACACCUAGGCGCCCAGAUCUGAAAUGGUGUAAUGAGUUCCUUCAGAUAACGGGGAAAAAAAUUUCAAAAAAACAUGAUUCACAUUUUUUUAUGAGAAAAGUUUUGAGUUGAUCUUUUUUCUUCUGUCAACACGUGAAAACGAUGCAUUAUACUUCAUCACAUCUUUGCGAUAAGUGAAAACAUAUCUGCAAGCGAUCACUUAAAAUUAUUUCAUAAACAUAACGGACUUCUUGGGCUUUAAGGCUUGACAGACGUCAUGAAAAAAUACUCCUAAUCAAAAACCAAGUUCAAGCUGUUGAUUUUACAUUCUCCGCAGCCAGCAAAUAAGGAAUGCAUGUGUCUUAUUCUGUGUUUUUUCGACGAUUUUAUUGGAAAUAUUGAUGGUGCCCGUGUAUUAUACAGUCUCAGAAGUUAACAUUUUGACAACAUUGAACAUUUGAUAUAAAAUAAUGAUUUUGUUUGCUCAACAGAUUGUGUUUAUAUUCAAUAACAUAGUAUUAUUAUCGUUGUGACUUUAAACGUGUUAGCUGUUACUUAUACAAAUAAAAUAAUAAUAAUAAUAAUAUUAAUAUUAAUAUUAAUAUUAACACAAUAUUGUAAUUAUAACUUUAAAUUUAUUGAAUUCGUGACAAACCUACCCGCUAGCUGUCCCGGGUAAAUCAAAUAGAUAAAAAUAACGUAAUAAUUAAACCUAUAGUUUUUAAUGUUAAAUUUGUGUCAAAUUUAAAGCCACUCAAUACAAAUAACUUAAACCUAUAAAUAUCAGGCAACAAGUUAAUGCAAUAUAUAAGUGCAACUAAUCAUUUUUAGUUAAACAUUUUAAACGCAUACGACAAGCUCCUUGCAAUUCAUUACAACAAACCCAACUGAUUAAUCACUUAUCUAUGUAGAUAUAAACGAAAAUUACACACCAAAAUGACGUUACGUAGGUAUUAUACACUAGUUAUUUGUUAAGUUAAACAUUAUUAUAACGUCAGCUAUAAUAUAUUGAUAGAAAAUAAUUAGUAACAGACUAUAGUUCAAAUUUCUCGUUUAAAAAUUCGUCAUAAGACUUAAAUUGGGUCAGAUAAAAUAAUGAUUAUUUUCUUUGUGAAAAUGUACAGUACGCACUGUACAUAUGGUGAACAUGAAUAUCGUCUAGUUUCAGAGUUAUUAACAUUUAUGAUAUAUAAUAUAAUGACUAAUUGUAUGAUUACUCGAUCGAGUAUCGAAAUACUCCAAAAAGUAAUUUUCUUUGCAAUGUGAAAUUAAAUAGAUAUUUUGUCAAUCCAAAAAUUAAAAAUCUUAAAUUUUUUUUUGUUAAAUGUUAUUUUACAAUGAUAUUAUCAAAUCGUGAUUUGUGAUUUCUAUUUGAAAUAUCGAGUGAAUCAAAUGGACCAUCUUGUAAAGGUACAUUAAAAUGAAUACUAAGUCAACAAAGUAUUGUGGGGAUACCGUUAAAAUGUAGGUAUUUUGAUUGUAGAAAUAUUGCUGUUAAAUAUUUUUACUAGUUUUAUUUUUAUUAAUGCGGUGCUAUUUUGUGUAUGAACGUUUUUGUGAUUAAAAAAAAAAACACGUUAUGAAAUGUUUGUUCAAGUGUUUUAUGAGCUAUAUUAUGUGUUUCAUCAUAGACAUCAUCGUGAGUACGUUGAUAAAUUUAAUAUAAAAUAUAAGUAAUUUUAAAAAUAAGUAGUUUUUUUGUUCUACAGCAACUUAUAAUCGAAAAGAUUAGAUAAGUGAAACAAUAAAUGCUCAUCGCAUGUUCAUAUGUUAUAUAUGACUCACAAGCAUUAAUGUACAGUUGCUGUGAUUUAGUUACGCAGAACUUUAUAAAAAUUUAUAAAAAAUUGCCAUUUUAAUAUUUACUUAACUUCAUUUACCAUAUGAUCGAUUUGUUUGCGAAGCAAAUUUAAAUAUUUGUAGAACUUUUACGCCGAAUUCAAAAAUCAAUUAAGAGUGUAUUAUAUUAUAUAUGAUUCAUGCACAAUAAUAGCUAAUGCCAAUAACCUUUGCUAAACAUAAUAUAAGACGUGUAAACCAGUAUAGUCGUAUAUAUUACAUAAUUCUAAGUAGUAUGAAGUGGUGGGAAAAUAUUUUAGACAAAAUAAUAAUAUGUAUCGUAAAUUCGAACAUUUAAUGAAAACAAAAUUUAAAAAAUUUAAAUAGUGAUAUAAUAUAUAUAAAUACAGCAAUUUAAAACGUUCAUUCAUGAUAUUGGUUAAUACGUUAUGAAACAGAAAGAAAAGGAGCAGUUCACGAUAACGCUGCAGAUGUUCUUAUAAAAAAUAAAAACAAAUACUUGAAUAAUAAAUAACUUCAGAUUGUAUACCCAAUGACAUUGAGUAUUUAUCUUAGCUGUGCUUCAGUGGCGUUGUUUCGAGUUUUACUUGACGGGGGGGAGGGGGACUUUGACCGGUCCUUUUGCAAAUAAUAAAUGUUUGUUCCUCCUGUGAUUGCUGCAGCUUUUUAUAAUAUAGCCUAUAGCCAGGUGAUGUCUCGUCCUUGCCUGUUUUAUCGAACUGGCGUUAUCUAUUGCAUUUCUCGCCCGUGUUGCCAGCAUUAUUAAAUAUACGUAAUAUAUAUAUUGAACUAAAAAUCUGACUAAAAAACAAAAUGAGUCUUACAACAAUAGCCCUCAAUAAACUACAAAACGUAUAUUUUUUUUAAUAUGCUCAAGGAAAAUAUUUAACUGCACAUAAAAUAUACUUUUAUUAAUUCUUUUUCUUUUCUCGUUGGACCGGCCAACUCCAAAGAUCCCAAUGAUCGGCAUAGUAGGCCUAUACAAAUAGGCCAGGGGAAAAUGUCCCUUUGACGCCCCUAAAUGACGCCACUGCUCGAAUCAUGAACCACACUAUAUAAUAUUAUGUAUUGUAUAGAUAUGAUGGGAAUUAAAAGUUGCCUAGUUUCAAUAAUACAUAAGUAUCAACUAUUAACACUAGGUAGGUAUUAUUAUUAUUUAUUAAACCUAUAGGUACUCGUGAUCAUUACGACCCGACACCAUGUUUUUGCUUUUCAAUGAUACAUUGGGUUAAACCUGUAACAUAAAUAGAUAACGUAGGCCUCUUAUUUUGAACAACGUUUCCUAUUUUUUUUUUUUAUUAAAUUUUCGCCGUGACUUUUAAAAUAAUAAUGGGUAUUGAGUUUCAAUAGUUGUAUUAUUAAAAACUGAAUUUCAUAAUAAUAUUAUCCCGAUAGUAAAACAUGCCACUUAAUAUAAUCUAUAUUUUAUUUAGUAUUUGAUAUUUUUAUCAGUUGUGUAGGUGAACUAAAUAUUUCAUAUUU
Myzus persicae (green peach aphid) is the source of this 3603-nucleotide long non-coding RNA. RefSeq lists it as uncharacterized. The transcript has 4 exons. The record is from RefSeq and is a predicted model, not a curated record. Lineage: Eukaryota; Metazoa; Arthropoda; Insecta; Hemiptera; Aphididae.